Molecule: ribosomal RNA, 406 nt
Filed under: uncultured bacterium
Lineage: Bacteria
Description: partial 16S ribosomal RNA
Rfam family: Bacterial small subunit ribosomal RNA
Source: RNAcentral
AUUGAACGCUGGCGGCAGGCCUAACACAUGCAAGUCGAGCGAGAGGCGGACGCGGGAGAGUAAUGUGGGAAAAUGCCUGAUGUAGGGGGAGAACAACUGGAGAAGGUAGCUAAUACCGCAUACCAUCAGAAGGGCCCAGAUGGGAUGAGCUAGUGGGUGGGGUAAUGGCUCUCCUAGGCGACGAUCCCUAGCUGGUCUGAGAGGAUGACCAGCCACACGGGAACGAGGACAGGGCCCAGACUCCUACGGAAGGCAGCAGUGGGGAAUAUUGCACAAUGGGCGCAAGCCUGAUGCAGCCAUGCGGCGUGUUUGAAGAAGGCCUUCGGGUUGUAAAGCACUUUCAGCGGGGAGGCGUUACCCGCAGAAGAAGCACCGGCUAACUCCGUGCCAGCAGCCGCGGUAAUUC